GCCUCUCGCGCGGGCGGAGAAUACGGCCGGCAGCCGCCGCACACGCGCGCAGUGCUGCUCGCCGUGUUCGCCGCUCUUUCUCCGUUCUUUCGCUCACGGGGCCCCGGCUCCUGCCCAGCGCGGGCCGGAGCGUGCGCUCGCCCCUGCGGACGGAGCCUGGAGGAGCUGGGCCGCGGCGGGCCCCGGAGCGGAGUUGCGGCACGGAGUCGGCGGGAGGUCGGCUCCUGUUGCGGCAGGCGUGGCCCGGAGCGCUGGGCAGCCCCUCCAAAGGGGACAUCUUGAAGACAAGCAGCCAGACGUAGUGAUCUAGGUGUUCACUUUGGUCGUCACCUGUGAGGCAAGCAUCUGAGCAUAAGAGGAAUCUGGGAGCUGCUUCAAAAAGGCAUUCAGAACAUCUGUGUUCGGAACGACUGUAUGCUGCCAUGAAGAACUAUAGGCUACCACCCUCAGAUCUUUGUAAGUUAUCACAUGUCAAGAGCAGCCAGGAGGAUCCAAAUGCCAGUGGAAAGGUUCUCCUCCCGGUCCCAACAAGGAGCUUUCGGCUGUAGGAAGGUUGGCCGCGUCCUUACCAGACUUGUGCUGAAGCAUCGUCUCGCAGUUGAAAGAGCAUUGUCACAGCUGGGAGCUCUCCGCAGAGAUCUGUGGCUGGCUGCAGAAGAUGAGCCCCGAAUUGCAGCGUGGACACAGCUAGGUCCUGGGGCUGCGCUGUAUGUGAGCAGGGCUGGGAGGUUGCAGGUGGUUUGGCCCUUGGUGGUUAUAGUUGUCACUGGCUGUGGAUGGUUGCCCAUGGAGCUGAGAUAAGCAAAAAUAUUAAUGGUCUGUAACAGAGAGGAAUUACUGCUUGCGGUGUUUAGGUAUGUUUGGUGUUAGCACAGCUUAGUGCAGUCCAGUGACAUGAUUCUUGCACGUGCUCACAUUUGAACGGUGGCUAAAAGCUAGUCUAUAAACAGCAACAGUAACAGGAUUCUGGUGCACACCUUCCUGUUCUGCUGCCCUUCUAAAUGAAGGGGAAACAUCUUUCCUUGCUUAAAGCUAAGGGUUUGGACUUUUUCACUUGAGGUUUAUUUAUUUUGUUGCUGAGGGUCUCUUAUGCAGGGGUUAUGGUUUCUUACUUUAUUUUGUGGGGUUCAGCCUUUAGCAGUCAGAGUUCACAGGUCGCUCAUCUAGCGAUCAGGGUGCAGGAUUUAAAAUCCAACCUCAUCCCUAGAUUUUACAGCCUCAGCCACUAUUUGGGUGCCAACAUGUGCAGUUUGUCACUUAAGGUUCAGGGCUUAGGGCUUACUGAUUAAUGAAAAAUCCAUAGAUAAUAAACUGUACGCCCUGAAGCCUAGGCAGCCUAAGGCUACAAACCCUCGUUCGAGGUUUCUCAUCUUCCCCUAUACCCAGUGUUCAAUUCUGUGCACUGACACAAGGUCUGGGUUUCGUGUGGUCCAGGUCCAUCCAUUGGGACUGGUGACGUGACAGGCGAGCUGAGAGCUGUGGAAGUGUCCUGCAGGGCUCUAAUCUGGGGCAAGGCAAAAGCACAGACAGGUGAGAUCAAGCAUAGUCUUCUAAAUUCUCAGAGUUGAAUCCUAUCCCUGAAGGAAAAAGCAGAAAAGGAAAAAGCAGAAGGGGUAGGCCGUCAGCUACGCAGACACCUGCCACGUCAAGGGCAGCAGCAGGAGCUGACCCUUCCCUGACGGACGGACGGAUGCUGGUGAUGACUCUUCAGGUGUUACAGGGUAAGGGGAAGCAUGCUGGCACCCAGCUCCGUGGCAGACUCACUUCCAGGUCAUGUUUCUGCACAGUAAAACAAUAAAUAGUUGUUUUAUUCUUUGCA
Molecule: long non-coding RNA, 1819 nt
Organism: Rhea pennata
Lineage: Eukaryota; Metazoa; Chordata; Aves; Rheiformes; Rheidae
Exons: 5
Source: RefSeq, a predicted model, not a curated record